Molecule: ribosomal RNA, 495 nt
Filed under: uncultured bacterium
Lineage: Bacteria
Description: partial 16S ribosomal RNA
Rfam family: Bacterial small subunit ribosomal RNA
Source: RNAcentral
AUGAACGCUGGCGGCGUGCCUAAUACAUGCCAGUCGCGCGAACAGACGAGGAGCUUGCUCCUCUGACGUUAGCGGCGGACGGGUGAGUAACACGUGGAUAACCUACCUAUAAGACUGGGAUAACUUCGGGAAACCGGAGCUAAUACCGGAUAAUAUAUUGAACCGCAUGGUUCAAUAGUGAAAGACGGUUUUGCUGUCACUUAUAGAUGGAUCCGCGCCGCAUUAGCUAGUUGGUAAGGUAACGGCUUACCAAGGCGACGAUGCGUAGCCGACCUGAGAGGGUGAUCGGCCACACUGGAACUGAGACACGGUCCAGACUCCUACGGGAGGCAGCAGUAGGGAAUCUUCCGCAAUGGGCGAAAGCCUGACGGAGCAACGCCGCGUGAGUGAUGAAGGUCUUCGGAUCGUAAAACUCUGUUAUUAGGGAAGAACAAAUGUGUAAGUAACUAUGCACGUCUUGACGGUACCUAAUCAGAAAGCCACGGCUAACUACGU